GUACAUGUAUAUACAUGUAUUAUGUGUAUACACACACAGAUACAUGGGUAUUUAUGCAGCUAAGUGAUUUAUAUGUGUGUAUACAUAUACACACAUAUAUUUAUACA
RNAcentral lists this microRNA precursor (107 nucleotides) under Octodon degus (degu). RNAcentral's name for it is "miRNA (ENSODEG00000022264.1)". Lineage: Eukaryota; Metazoa; Chordata; Mammalia; Rodentia; Octodontidae. The record is from RNAcentral.